AUCCAUCUGACGAGUCCCAAAUAGGACGAAGUAGCACACAUUGUGGAU
This 48-nucleotide non-coding RNA is filed under the name Schistosoma mansoni. The record is from RNAcentral. Lineage: Eukaryota; Metazoa; Platyhelminthes; Trematoda; Strigeidida; Schistosomatidae.